GACCGCGCGGGAUCUCUUCCUGUGAUUUUGAGCUGAUAGCUGCUUAGUGUUAUUUCUGCGUCUAACUGGAUACGGUAGUCUUCUCUCCCAAAUUCCCGGGCUACGGAAGAGACGUAAAAAAAUGGAAAAAAGAGCACCUAGCCGCGACUUCUUAAGUCGUCGCGCUAGACUGUCAAGGCACGUGGCACACUCCCUGCGUUUACCGAUACACGGAUAGUGGUCAGUGCUGGCCUUGGCGAAGGGAGCCAUGUUCCCGACAGUGACUCACAGGCUUGCCCAAAUACGGAGUGUGGCAGGUGGGCAGGACCUCCACCAGCCAGCUCCCUCCUGGUCUCCUUGAACUACGUGGGGGCUGGGCCGAGUGCCUCCACGACUUUCCACUUCUUUUUGCUCCUUUCGUUUUUAAAAAGCAAAAACCAAAGUAAAGAGAAGAGCAGAGUGAACACCCAGGUACCAUCCCUAGUGUCUGCCAUGAGCAGCAGAUCUAUCUACUCGCCAAGAUUGUCUUUUCUACCUUUCCCCUUCUUGCACAGUUAAUAUCAUAAUAACGCAAGUCAUAUUUAAAAAAUUUUUAUCACCUAUCAGUUGAGUUUUUGGAAAGCCUUCCAGGGCAGCGUUGUGGUUUUGAACGCACUCUUGUUCGUGAUUUAUCUGGUAGUACAGCUCUGCUGACAAGGCUCUGAAAACUCAGACGUACAAUAUGGGCUUAGCGUGUUCCCCGACACCAUCUUCCCGGUGCUGACUAAUGCAAGAACCACAUCCCCUCCACUACACAUUUUCCAAACUUGACUACCUUCAUGAGAACAAAUCCUGAUUUUAGUUUAUAAUUUCCACUUUUCUCAUACAUAUAUAAUAAUUCAAGAUGUGGUCUUACUAUGUUGUCCAGGUUGGCCUGGAACUCCUGGGCUCAAAGGAUCCUCCGGCCACAGCCUCCCUGGUAGUGGAAUUACAGGCGCAUGCCACUGUGCCUGGCCACUUUUCUCAAAUUUACUGAUAGUUUCCUUUUUGCCCAAACCUUACAAUGCUUAUUUGUAGCUUUGAGAACCUCUCUUAGAUGAAAUCAAAAUCAUAUCCAUAUUAGUUGCCUUUUUGGGGUCAGAAAUGCAGCUAUUGUCUAGAAAUCCAGGGCUGUCCUGCAUAAUCUACCCUCCCCUUCACGUGUUCUGACCUUGUUCUGCAUUUUGAAUAAUUUCAUGGAAUUUCAAAGCCGUUGUAGUAAAUGUCUUUCUUUAAAGACAACUCGACCUUCAAGACAGGUAAAGAACGUGCCUGGAGCCACCCCAGGCAGUGAUGCUGGAGGAGUUCUCUCAACCUGGAAACUUAUUCUUUAUGCUGAAUUUUGAAAUCGAAUGCUCCUAUAUUUACUUGGAGUAUUUUAGAUUGUGUAUGUAUUAUAUCUGUGCAUCAUUCAUUGUUACCAUCUAACUUGGAAAUCAGAGGAAGUGUGAAAGGUAUCUGAGAUACCAGCUUAGAAAACAACUCUUUAGCUCCUCCUGGUGAUUAGGACACCACUAAACAACAGGAUGAAGGAUCUGUCCCCAGGGCCGAAGUGAUGAUGUAUCUAAUAUUAUAUCCUAGAACAUUCACAGAGUAGCUGCAGAAUGUCUUGAGCUGGAACAUCCCCAAGAGGCCAUAUAUAUAUCCCAGGGAUUUUACAGUGGACCUCACUAGGCCGGAGUAACUGUAAAGUCAGAUGGAUAAUGAGAAUUCAGGACGUUAGCCACACGUGGACUGUGGCAAAAAGAAAGUGACCCACUGAAGAAGACUGUUUUUCAGCUCUCUCAUCAAUUGCUGUUUCCAGGAGCCCACAGCUCCAAUUACUCAAAAGAACGUUGACUUUUUUUUUUUUGGUAAAAUAUCCUGAUUUUCAGGUUAGGCAAGCAAUUCAUUAAAAAAUAAAAGACU
This 1905-nucleotide long non-coding RNA is filed under the name Homo sapiens (human). RNAcentral describes it as "HSALNT0353654". The record is from RNAcentral. Lineage: Eukaryota; Metazoa; Chordata; Mammalia; Primates; Hominidae.